Molecule: ribosomal RNA, 253 nt
Filed under: uncultured bacterium
Lineage: Bacteria
Description: partial 16S ribosomal RNA
Rfam family: Bacterial small subunit ribosomal RNA
Source: RNAcentral
UACGAAGGUCCCAAGCGUUAUCCGGAUUUAUUGGGUUUAAAGGGUGCGUAGGCGGGUUAUUAAGUCAGUGGUGAAAGCUCCAUGCCUAACAUGGAAAUUGCCAUUGAUACUGAUGAUCUUGAGUACAUUUGAAGUGGGCGGAAUGUGUCAUGUAGCGGUGAAAUGCUUAGAUAUCGGAAGGAACAUCAGUUGCGAAGGCGGCUCUCUGGACCAGCACUGACACUGAGGCACGAAAGCGUGGGGAGCAAACAGG